GAGGACCAAUUGGAGGGCAAGUCUGGUGCCAGCAGCCGCGGUAAUUCCAGCUCCAAAAGCGUAUAUUAAAGUUGCUGCAGUUAAAAAGCUCGUAGUUGGAUCUGGGUCGUGCGGUCGCAUGCCGCUGCUUGUUCACGGUUUUGGUUACGAUCAGGACGUGUUCAGCUCGGUGUAGUGGCUGUGCAGCCUUUCAGCCGUGUCUGUGUUAAACGGGUGCUGGUGGGUUGACGAGUUCGUCUUGUUGACCUGUCGGCAUGCUUCCGGAUGCCUUUAAACGGGUGUCGGGAGCGGACGGCAUCUUUACUUUGAACAAAUUUGAGUGCUCAAAGCAGGCCUGUGCGCCUGAAAAUUCUUGCAUGGAAUAAUGAAAUAGGACUUCGGUUCUAUUUUGUUGGUUUUCGGAUCCGAAGUAAUGGUUAAGAGGGACAGACGGGGGCAUUUGUAUGGCGGUGUUAGAGGUGAAAUUCUGGGAUCGCCGCCAGACAAACUACAGCGAAAGCAUUUGCCAAGAAUGUUUUC
RNAcentral lists this non-coding RNA (519 nucleotides) under Schistosoma curassoni. RNAcentral's name for it is "Eukaryotic small subunit ribosomal RNA". It matches the Rfam family "Eukaryotic small subunit ribosomal RNA", at positions 539 to 971 of the family's 1831-position model. Lineage: Eukaryota; Metazoa; Platyhelminthes; Trematoda; Strigeidida; Schistosomatidae. The record is from Rfam by way of RNAcentral.